This 897-nucleotide ribosomal RNA is filed under the name candidate division TM7 bacterium enrichment culture clone CTBE CDB1001E03. RNAcentral's name for it is "bacterial SSU rRNA". It matches the Rfam family "Bacterial small subunit ribosomal RNA", at positions 42 to 981 of the family's 1533-position model. Lineage: Bacteria; Candidatus Saccharimonadota. The record is from RNAcentral.
GGAUGCUAAUACUGCAAGUCGAGCGCCCCCUUGCGGGGCACGGCGGACGGCUGAGUACACGUAGGAACGUACCCCAAACUGAGGGAUAAGCACCAGAAAUGGUGUCUAAUACCGCAUGUGCUCUUCGGAGUAAAGCUACGGCGGUUUGGGAGCGGCCUGCGCAUGAUUAGCUGGUUGGUGAGGUAACGGCUCACCAAGGCGACGAUCAUUAGCUGGUCUGAGAGGAUGAUCAGCCAGACUGGGACUGAGAACGGCCCAGACUCCUACGGGAGGCAGCAGUAGGGAAUUUUCCACAAUGGGCGGAAGCCUGAUGGAGCAACGCCGCGUGCAGGACGAAGGCCUUCGGGUUGUAAACUGCUUUUAUCUGUGACGAUUAUGACGGUAGCAGAUGAAUAAGGAUCGGCUAACUCCGUGCCAGCAGCCGCGGUCAUACGGAGGAUCCAAGCGUUAUCCGGAAUUACUGGGCGUAAAGAGUUGCGUAGGUGGCAUGGUAAGUUGCUAGUGAAAUCCUGGGGCUCAACCCCUUACCCAUUAGCAAAACUGCCAAGCUAGAGGACGAGAGAGGUACCUGGAAUUCCUAGUGUAGGAGUGAAAUCCGUAGAUAUUAGGAGGAACACCGAUGGCGUAAGCAGGGUACUGGCUUGUUCCUGACACUAAGGCACGAAAGCGUGGGGGAGCGAAACGGGAUUAAAUACCCCGGUAGUCCACGCCGUAAACCAAGAAUGCUGGCCCGGGUUCNGAAACGACCCCCGGACGGGGCGGAGCUAAACGCGUUAACCAUUCCGCCUGUGGGAAAACGUCGCCAGACUUAAACUUAUAGGAAUUUGCGGGGGAACUCCCCAAACCGUGGAACCUGGUUGUUUAAUCUAAGAAAGCACGAAAACCCUUACCCCGGUU